GAACCGUACAAACGUUAUUCGGAAUCACUGGGCUUAAAGGGUGCGUAGGCGGCCCGGCAAGUUGGGUGUGAAAUCCCUCGGCUCAACCGAGGAACUGCGCCCAAUACUGCCGGACUUGAGGGAGACAGAGGUGAGCGGAACUUAGGGUGGAGCGGUGAAAUGCGUUGAUAUCCUAAGGAACACCGGUGGCGAAAGCGGCUCACUGGGUCUCUUCUGACGCUGAGGCACGAAAGCCAGGGUAGCGAACGGGAUUAGAUACCCCGGGUAGUCCUGGCCGUAAACGAUGAGCACUGGGUUGGAGGCCCCUUCCAUAGGCUUCCGGCCGUAGCGAAAGUGUUAAGAGCUCCGCCUGGGGAGUAUGGUCGCAAGGUUG
Molecule: ribosomal RNA, 373 nt
Filed under: uncultured organism
Description: partial 16S ribosomal RNA
Rfam family: Bacterial small subunit ribosomal RNA
Source: RNAcentral